UUUAAGUAAAGGAUCUGAAUACUUGUUCCACCACUGUGGGUGGCUUACUGACACCCAAAGGACACAUGCCUCAUCUGAACCCCAGUGACUCUAAGUCCUCUCCUGUUGCAAUGUCUCACUGAGCCAUUAUCCACAGCAGACAUUUUGACAUGUCACAUCAGGAAAAGCACAGGUGUAAUUAAUAACACAAAUAACAAGCACAUUCCAUUCAGGUGAAUCAGUCCCAUGGCCCCAGAUUGUGCUUGCUGGCUCUCUGGCACACCCAAGUGGAACUGAGUCAUCAUUAACAAAAUUUGUUUCAGCUGUGGUUCUUCUGCUAUGACAAGUGAAAAUGUCUACUGUGAGAAAGGUCUCCUGAGCUUUGUGGUGUCUUUCAUCACCAACUUUUCACAGAUCAGUAACAGCUCCUUGUUGGCUUCAGUUCAUUUUGGUUAACACAUUAACACAAACUACACUGAAAUAAUUCAGGAGCUUACUGAGGAGCAUCUUCUCUCAUGGAGGGCACCUGAGGAAAUCAACUUAAAUCAACAGUUAAACAAGACUAUUUUAUAUAUUAUUGUAAAGCCAAUAGACUGAAUAUUUUUGUGCUGUGUCACUUUAAAACCAAUAAAUGUCAUUUUUUUUAAAAAUAAUUUGUUGACUGUGUUAAUCUAUUUGAUCACUUGGAUCUGAUGUUCUUAUAAUGUUUAGAACAUGACAUUACAUUCAUUUUACUGACGUGAACAUUGUGUCUUUACAUGUUUUCUGAUGAGUUGAAGAGGGAAAGGAAAGGAGGGAAGACAGAAUAAUAUAAGAUAAAAGGGGGAAAACAUAAGGAAGGAAGAAAAGAAGGAAUAAAAUAAAGGUGGAGGGAAACUGGGGAUGUAAAGCAGACAUGCCAGUACUUCAGUAAAUAACUGGGGGUUUAAAAAGGAAAACCUCCUUUAUGAGGUAUGGCUAUUAAAUAACGAGACUAAUGCUGUAAUACAGUUUUAUUGAACAUAAACAUUUUUCAGUGUCUGUCUCCUUCAACAUACUCCCCUUCUGCAUCAGCAUCUCUUUAUCAAUGGAGACCAUUUCUGCUAUCAUUCUUAUACUGAGUUGUCAAUCAUUUCAAACAAUUUGUUCAAUCUGUUGAAUGUGUUUGAUGUGCACAGAUGCCCAGAAGGUUCAGUCUUGGACAUCCUCUCUGCCUUCACAAAAUGUGCACAUGACAUGUAGUGUUCCCCUUCCACCAAAAAUUUCAAGUUAUAAUGUAAGUAAUGCGUUGCUCAACUUUUAAGCUAAUAAUUUUCUGACGCCUUAGCAAAAAUGUGUAUUUCAAUCAGUAGCCAGCAGUGAACAAAAGACGUCACUUAUUGGAAACUUAAAGCAGUUGCGUGUGAAUACUCAACCUUUAAUAUAUAAAACUCAGUGUGACUGUGACCCACGUGCAGUCUUGUUAUUUAAUAGCCAUACCUUGUACACACUUAUUACAAAUAUGGUUUGAUGGCUGAGAUUCUUGGCAGAUUCCUUUCCAACUAAGAAUUAAAAUAACAAGCAGUAAUUACAAAAACUUUAUUGGUAUCUCCCUCUUCACAAUAGAACAAAAAUCAGAAGAAAAAAGAACUUAGGAUAAUUUGUGUUUCUGAUAAAGUUUCGCAUGAACACAAAAAAAGAUACAGUGGAGAUCAGGAUUUUUUUUACGCUUUCCAUUUCUAAGCUGCAGACUUUCAUUUCUAAACUGCAUUUGAAGAUUUUGAUCAGUGUCAGGCAUAACUGGUAACUGAUAUUCCUGACCCUGAAAUCCUGAAAUUAUUAAAUGCUUUUUCUGUACAUUUUCACUGCUGAAGGAGCUUAACACCAAGGUCAUGUUUAACAGGGCUAACUGGAGUCUUUCAGCAAGCAUACAAACAAUGAAGACGCAGGAAGCGAGGCCGGGGACCAAAUAAAAA
This is a long non-coding RNA of Lates calcarifer (barramundi perch), 1913 nucleotides long. RefSeq lists it as uncharacterized. The transcript is spliced from 2 exons. Lineage: Eukaryota; Metazoa; Chordata; Actinopteri; Centropomidae. The record is from RefSeq and is a predicted model, not a curated record.